UACGAAGGGGGCUAGCGUUGCUCGGAAUCACUGGGCGUAAAGCGCACGUAGGCGGAUUGUUAAGUCAGGGGUGAAAUCCUGGAGCUCAACUCCAGAACUGCCUUUGAUACUGGCGAUCUUGAGUCCGGGAGAGGUGAGUGGAACUGCGAGUGUAGAGGUGAGAUUCGUAGAUAUUCGCAAGAACACCAGUGGCGAAGGCGGCUUACUGGUCCGGUUCUGACGCUGAGGCGCGAAAGCGUGGGGAGCAAACAGG
RNAcentral lists this ribosomal RNA (253 nucleotides) under uncultured bacterium. RNAcentral describes it as "partial 16S ribosomal RNA". It matches the Rfam family "Bacterial small subunit ribosomal RNA", at positions 524 to 776 of the family's 1533-position model. The record is from RNAcentral.